Elaeis guineensis (African oil palm) is the source of this 839-nucleotide non-coding RNA. NCBI's taxonomy places the organism in Eukaryota, Viridiplantae, Streptophyta, Magnoliopsida, Arecales, Arecaceae. The record is from RefSeq and is a predicted model, not a curated record.
CAAUUUUUAGCAGUUGGGCUGGCUUUUUUAUAGGUAUUAUGUUGGAUUUUUUUUUUGGAGAUAUUAUAUGAGAUCUGUCAUAAAGGCCUUCUAGCUUUCUUUUAUACCCCCAAUCUUCCUCUCAGAAUUGCACGGCAGUUGCAGAUAGACUUUAUAUGGAAUCUGUAGUGGCAAUGGCAUUAUUAGGUGUCAAACUGGCUUAAUGAUUGUCCCGGUUAUUCUUCAUAUCUCUUCGGUUUUAAUUAUCAUUCAUCUUAAUUGUAGUAAAUUCCUGAACAGGGUAAUUAUGGAAAAUUUUAUGACUUUUUAACCACCACCUAGCCUUUCGUGUGCCUGUACAGUACAACUAUGGGUCAUAUAUUAGACUUGAUUUGACUAACUAUUUCAAAUUGGACUUAUCUCAAAUCAAAGCCUUUUCCCUUUUUUUCUUUUCAGGUCCUUUUUCUGUUUAUCAUAAAGAUGGUGGUACUUCUGAGGUGUUGGUGUUAUCUGAAUUGAAUGGGAGUUGUGCUUGAUGUCCUGGCUGCUGCAGGAGUAAUAAAAUCACAUCAUUUCUGGUUGGAUGUAGAGCAUGAGAAAACCAUGUUACCCUUUUGGGGUUGCCUGCUGCCUGUGUAGGCUCAAACUUGAUGAUUUAAAUUGCUUCUUGACUAUUAUGAAAGAUCUAGAGACAUUGGAGCAUAUUAUAUUAGCUGAGCAAUUAAGAGUACUUCUGUGGUCUUCAUAUGUUGGAGGAUAUUGUGUUUCUGCUGCUGUUCUUUAGUCUUUACUGCCCUUUGUGCUGGGAAUUUGCCACCUAUACAUCAAGAGAUUUAAAUGCACACAACAUUUCAUAGAAA